This 271-nucleotide ribosomal RNA is filed under the name uncultured bacterium. RNAcentral's name for it is "partial 16S ribosomal RNA". It matches the Rfam family "Bacterial small subunit ribosomal RNA", at positions 509 to 797 of the family's 1533-position model. The record is from RNAcentral.
CAGCAGCCGCGGUAAUACGGAGGGUGCRAGCGUUAAUCGGAAUUACUGGGCGUAAAGCGCGCGUAGGUGGUCUGUUAAGUCGGAUGUGAAAGCCCCGGGCUCAACCUGGGAACUGCAUUCGAUACUGGCAGACUAGAGUGCGRGAGAGGGAGGUAGAAUUCCAUGUGUAGCGGUGAAAUGCGUAGAUAUGUGGAGGAAUACCAGUGGCSAAGGCGGCCUCMYGGCUSGACACUGMCAGUGACUACGGGAGGCAGCAGGAAAAAUAUUUCUG